CAGGCCUAACACAUGCAAGUCGAACGGGUGGUCGCAAGACCAUAGUGGCGCACGGGUGCGUAACGCGUAACCAACCUGCCCUGAACUGGGGGAUAGCCCGCCGAAAGGCGAUUAAUACCGCAUAAACCAACAGAGUGGCAUCACUUAAUUGGUAAAGAUUUAUUGGUUCAGGAUGGGGUUGCGUGACAUUAGCUAGUUGGCGGGGUAACGGCCCACCAAGGCGACGAUGUCUAGGGGACCUGAGAGGGUGAUCCCCCACACUGGCACUGAGAUACGGGCCAGACUCCUACGGGAGGCAGCAGUAGGGAAUAUUGGGCAAUGGGCGCGAGCUGACCCAGCCAUGCCGCGUGCCGGAUGAAGGCCUUCUGGGUUGUAAACGGCUUUUCUCAGGGAAGAAAAAGAGGAUGCGUCCUAAACUGACGGUACCUGAGGAAUAAGCACCGGCUAACUCCGUGCCAGCAGCCGCGGUAAUACGGAGGGUGCAAGCGUUGUCCGGAUUUAUUGGGUUUAAAGGGUGCGUAGGUGGCCCGUUAAGUCCGGGGUGAAAGCCCACAGCUCAACUGUGGAACUGCCCUGGAUACUGGCGGGCUUGAGUCCAGACGAGGUUGGCGGAAUGGAAGAUGUAGCGGUGAAAUGCAUAGAUAUCUUCCAGAACCCCGAUUGCGUAGGCAGCUGACUAGGCUGGUACUGACACUGAGGCACGAAAGCGUGGGGAGCGAACAGGAUUAGAUACCCUGGUAGUCCACGCCGUAAACGAUGGAUACUCGCUGGUGGCGAUAGACAGUCACUGGCUUAGCG
This 798-nucleotide ribosomal RNA is filed under the name uncultured Bacteroidota bacterium. RNAcentral describes it as "bacterial SSU rRNA". It matches the Rfam family "Bacterial small subunit ribosomal RNA", at positions 43 to 853 of the family's 1533-position model. The record is from RNAcentral. Lineage: Bacteria; Pseudomonadati; Bacteroidota.